GAUGAAGAACGCAGCGAAAUGCGAUAAGUAAUGUGAAUUGCAGAAUUCAGUGAAUCAUCGAAUCUUUGAACGCACCUUGCGCCCUUUGGCCAUUCCGAAGGGCAUGCCUGUUUGAGUAUCAUGAACACCUCAACUCUUUAUGGUUUUCCAUGAUGAGCUUGGACUUUGGGGGUUUUGCUGGCCUAUGGUCGGCUCCUCUAAAAUAAAUCAGCUUACCGGUGUUUGGUGGGUAUCAUGGGUGUGAUAACUAUCUACGCUUGUGGUUUUUCCACCAGGUAACCUUCGACAGCGGAGGUUCACUGGAGCUCAUAGAUGUCUCUCCUCAGCGAGGACAGCCCUUUGAAUGUUUGAUCUCAAAUCAGGUAGGACUACCCGCUGAACUUAAGCAUAUCAAUAAGCGAGGA
Molecule: unclassified non-coding RNA, 404 nt
Filed under: soil metagenome
Description: partial contains 5.8S ribosomal RNA, internal transcribed spacer 2, and large subunit ribosomal RNA
Rfam family: 5.8S ribosomal RNA (bases 1-121)
Source: RNAcentral